CGGAGAGUUUGAUCCUGGCUCAGGAUGAACGCUAGCGGCAGGCUUAACACAUGCAAGUCGAGGGGCAGCAGGAGAAGACUUCGGUCUUCUUGCUGGCGACCGGCGCACGGGUGAGUAACACGUAUGCAACCUGCCCUUGUCAGGGGGACAACCCGGCGAAAGCCGGGCUAAUCCCGCGUAUAUGCAUCGAGGGCAUCCUAGAUGCAGGAAAGGCUUCGGCCGGACAAGGAUGGGCAUGCGGCGCAUUAGGUAGUUGGAGGUGUAACGGACCACCAAGCCGACGAUGCGUAGGGGUUCUGAGAGGAAGGCCCCCCACACUGGUACUGAGACACGGACCAGACUCCUACGGGAGGCAGCAGUGAGGAAUAUUGGUCAAU
Molecule: ribosomal RNA, 377 nt
Filed under: Bacteroidales bacterium
Lineage: Bacteria; Pseudomonadati; Bacteroidota; Bacteroidia; Bacteroidales
Description: bacterial SSU rRNA
Rfam family: Bacterial small subunit ribosomal RNA
Source: RNAcentral